Molecule: ribosomal RNA, 465 nt
Filed under: uncultured bacterium
Lineage: Bacteria
Description: partial 16S ribosomal RNA
Rfam family: Bacterial small subunit ribosomal RNA
Source: RNAcentral
CCUACGGGUGGCAGCAGUAGGGAAUAUUGCACAAUGGGCGAAAGCCUGAUGGAGCAACGCCGCGUGGGUGAAGAAGGUCUUCGGAUUGUAAAACCCUGUUGUUAGAGAAGAAAGAGCGCGAGAGCAACUGAUCACGUUUCGACGGUAUCUAACCAGAAAGCCACGGCUAACUACGUGCUAGCAGCCGCGGUAAGACGUAGGGGGGAAGCGUUAUCCGGAUUUAUUGGGCGUAAAGGGAACGCAGGCGGUCUGUUAAGUCUGAUGUGAAAGCCUUCGGCUUAACCGGCGUAGUGCAAUGGAAACUGGGGGGCUGGAGUGCCGCAGAGGCAGGCGGAACGCCAUGUGUAGCGGUGAAAUGCGUAGAUAUCUGGAAGAACACCAGUGGCGAAGGCGGCUCUCUGGACUGUAACUGACGCUGAGGUUCGAAAGCGUGGGGAGCAAACAGGAUUAGAUACCCGAGUAGUC